CAAACUGGAGAUGGCGACCGGCGCACGGGUGAGUAACACGUAUCCAACCUGCCGAUAACUCGGGGAUGCCUUUCGAAAGAAAGAUUAAUACCCGAUGGCAUAAUAGAACCGCAUGGUUUGAUUAUUAAAGAAUUUCGGUUAUCGAUGGGGAUGCGUUCCAUUAGGCAGUUGGUGGGGUAACGGCCCACCAAACCUUCGAUGGAUAGGGGUUCUGAGAGGAAGGUCCCCCACAUUGGAACUGAGACACGGUCCAAACUCCUACGGGAGGCAGCAUG
This 275-nucleotide ribosomal RNA is filed under the name uncultured bacterium. Its description in RNAcentral is "partial 16S ribosomal RNA". It matches the Rfam family "Bacterial small subunit ribosomal RNA", at positions 77 to 353 of the family's 1533-position model. The record is from RNAcentral.